GCAUAUCAAUAAGCGGAGGAAAAGGAAACUAACAAGGAUUCCCCUAGUAACGGCGAGUGAAGAGGGAAGAGCCCAAGAUUGAAAGCUGGCGUCUUUGGCGUCCGCAUUGUAAUCUCAAGAAGCAUUUUCCGCUUCGGACCAAGCCUAAGUCCCUUGGAAAAGGGCAUCGUAGAGGGUGAGAAUCCCGUACAUGGCUUGGAGCGCCCGAGGCUUUGUGAUAUGCAUUCUAAGAGUCGAGUUGUUUGGGAAUGCAGCUCAAAAUGGGUGGUAAAUGCCAUCUAAGGCUAAAUAUUGGGGAGAGACCGAUAGCGAACAAGUACCGUGAGGGAAAGAUGAAAAGAACUUUGAAAAGAGAGUUAAACAGUACGUGAAAUUGCCAAAAGGGAAGGGUAGGAGGUCAGAGAUGCGGCGUGGAAUUCAGCCUUGCUUUUGCUUGGUCUACUUUCCUCAUUGCAGGCCAACGUCGGUUUUGGGCACUGGAGAAUGGUGGGAGGAAUGUGGCACCCCUCGGGGUGUGUUAUAGCCUCCUACUGGAUACAGCGACCGGGACCGAGGAACGCAGCGUACUCGAAAGAGCGGGCCUUCGGGCACCUUUACGCUUAGGGCGUUGGCAUAAUGGCCCUCUACCACCCGUCUUGAAACACGGACCAAGGAGUCUAACAUGUAUGCGAGUCUUUGGGUGGCAAACCCGUAGGCGCAAUGAAAGUGAAUUCAGAUGGGAUCCGCAAGGUGCACCAUCGACCGAUCCUCACGUCUUUUAAGUCGUGGAUUUGAGUAAGAGCAUGCCUGUUGGGACCCGAAAGAUGGUGAACUAUGCCUGAAUAGGGCGAAGCCAGAGGAAACUCUGGUGGAGGCUCGUAGCGGUUCUGACGUGCAAAUCGAUCGUCAAAUUUGGGUAUAGGGGCGAAAGACUAAUCG
RNAcentral lists this ribosomal RNA (918 nucleotides) under Farysia setubalensis. RNAcentral's name for it is "LSU rRNA". It matches the Rfam family "Eukaryotic large subunit ribosomal RNA", at positions 38 to 937 of the family's 3401-position model. Lineage: Eukaryota; Fungi; Basidiomycota; Ustilaginomycetes; Ustilaginales; Ustilaginaceae. The record is from RNAcentral.